CCAACAAACAGGGACGUGCACUUUUGCUCUCCAGACCGACGGAGAACAUCAAAGUUUGUGAGUAAUUGCCGGGGAAAGUUGAAUAUUCUAUGUAUCAACAGAGAGCGGAGCAGAGGAACGCACCACACGGGAACUACUUUUUCAACGAGGCUGGCGGAAGAAUACCAUGAAGGAGCGUGACGUCAGCGAGGAGAUGAGCCCUGAUGGGGGUUGUUCCUGAUUCUUCCUGGGACGUGGGUGGUGGAGGAGUUUCCCUUUAUGUUAUGGGAUGUGCUGGUGGUGGUGGAGGUGCGGGACUGCCCAAGCGUGGAUGAGGAGUCUUGGUGAAUGGCUACUACAGGACUGGUGAGAAGUGUGUGGAUCUCUUAAAGAGCAGAGGAGCAGAAGAGAUGGAGGGCCGAGCGAGAGAUGAUGAGGCGGAGAGAGCUACGUUGGCGAAGAAUGUAGAAGAGAUAUAGAUGGUGAGCCGCGCAGAAUAGGUAAGCAGAAGAGGUGAAGAGAGAUGAACGCCAGGAAGAGGUGAGAGGUGAAGAGAGCCACGCAGAGCAGAAGAGAUGUCCUGUCGCAGUAAAAUCUGACGCCCCGCAGGAUGGUGACGAGGCUGCUGGGUGAUGGGCUGGAUCGGACUGAAUAUUACAAAGGGAGUCUACUGCCGCUGCAUUCUUCCCUCCCUGAAGCAGGCAAGGCUGGUGGAACGCUAUUACAGUACAGCUGGUGGAGAGCAACGGCCUGAAGAAGAAAGAGCAAGAAGACACGCCGAAGAACAAGACACACAACAUGAGACAGACUGGAGGGGUGACAGGCGGCAGUCCACGGGGGAUCAAGUAACCUCCAAGACUACUAGUACAGAGUUUCCUUGCCAGCUUUGUGUCUCCAAUCAGAUCACCGCUGCCUCGCCGGCUGGAAGUACAUCAGGGAGGAGAGGGACGCUGUGUGUGGAUCCCUCGCCUCCUUCAUGUAUGGACGAAGGUGCUUAAAUAUUCAGGAAAUUUCCAUACGUAGCUGGCAGGGAAGUUCUGUACCGUGUCUGGAGGGGACUUUUUCCUUCGCCGGGGAGGGUGAAUGAAGUCUGUCUUAUCCAUAUUCACAAAAAAACGCUUUGCUCUCACCAUCACUAUUUUUCAAGGCCACAGAGAUCGAGUGUUUAUUUUCUCCAGUUGUGAUUAAUUAAUAUAGAUUUUGUUAAUCUGUCACUAGAAUCGUGAAACUACUACUAUUUAAAAAAAAUACUAUUAAAAAAAACUUAAGUUAUAAGCCUUUUGAAUGUGUAAUAAGUAGUUUUAAGCCAGAAAGUAGUGGUGGUGCGGCGCAGUGUUUCAGAAUAUUGGUCUAGGUGUCAUCGUUGUUUCCGUCUGUGUUCGUCUCCCUUGAACGAACAACGUGUGUGUCAGUCAGACUCGGUGUCAGCUGGCAGGUGCCGAUACACUAGAAGUCCUAGGCUCCCUAACUCAUCAUUGUUGUGCUGAUUUAUUUUAAUUUUUUUUUCCCCUACUCCAUGGACGUGUGCAGUGUUUCUCCGGAGACUCUUUCGAGUAUUGUUUUACACGGGCUGUGUAGAUAAAGUUUUGUGACUAGUCUUGGAACAAGUUGGUUUAAUAAAAUUAUUAACGUGUA
Long non-coding RNA from Scylla paramamosain (green mud crab), 1614 nucleotides. RefSeq lists it as uncharacterized. The record is from RefSeq and is a predicted model, not a curated record. The transcript is spliced from 4 exons. NCBI's taxonomy places the organism in Eukaryota, Metazoa, Arthropoda, Malacostraca, Decapoda, Portunidae.